This 2925-nucleotide ribosomal RNA is filed under the name Escherichia coli. RNAcentral's name for it is "bacterial LSU rRNA". It matches the Rfam family "Bacterial large subunit ribosomal RNA". Lineage: Bacteria; Pseudomonadati; Pseudomonadota; Gammaproteobacteria; Enterobacterales; Enterobacteriaceae. The record is from RNAcentral.
GGGUUGUGAGGUUAAGCGACUAAGCGUACACGGUGGAUGCCCUGGCAGUCAGAGGCGAUGAAGGACGUGCUAAUCUGCGAUAAGCGUCGGUAAGGUGAUAUGAACCGUUAUAACCGGCGAUUUCCGAAUGGGGAAACCCAGUGUGUUUCGACACACUAUCAUUAACUGAAUCCAUAGGUUAAUGAGGCGAACCGGGGGAACUGAAACAUCUAAGUACCCCGAGGAAAAGAAAUCAACCGAGAUUCCCCCAGUAGCGGCGAGCGAACGGGGAGGAGCCCAGAGCCUGAAUCAGUGUGUGUGUUAGUGGAAGCGUCUGGAAAGGCGCGCGAUACAGGGUGACAGCCCCGUACACAAAAAUGCACAUGCUGUGAGCUCGAUGAGUAGGGCGGGACACGUGGUAUCCUGUCUGAAUAUGGGGGGACCAUCCUCCAAGGCUAAAUACUCCUGACUGACCGAUAGUGAACCAGUACCGUGAGGGAAAGGCGAAAAGAACCCCGGCGAGGGGAGUGAAAAAGAACCUGAAACCGUGUACGUACAAGCAGUGGGAGCCUCUUUUAUGGGGUGACUGCGUACCUUUUGUAUAAUGGGUCAGCGACUUAUAUUCUGUAGCAAGGUUAACCGAAUAGGGGAGCCGAAGGGAAACCGAGUCUUAACUGGGCGUUAAGUUGCAGGGUAUAGACCCGAAACCCGGUGAUCUAGCCAUGGGCAGGUUGAAGGUUGGGUAACACUAACUGGAGGACCGAACCGACUAAUGUUGAAAAAUUAGCGGAUGACUUGUGGCUGGGGGUGAAAGGCCAAUCAAACCGGGAGAUAGCUGGUUCUCCCCGAAAGCUAUUUAGGUAGCGCCUCGUGAAUUCAUCUCCGGGGGUAGAGCACUGUUUCGGCAAGGGGGUCAUCCCGACUUACCAACCCGAUGCAAACUGCGAAUACCGGAGAAUGUUAUCACGGGAGACACACGGCGGGUGCUAACGUCCGUCGUGAAGAGGGAAACAACCCAGACCGCCAGCUAAGGUCCCAAAGUCAUGGUUAAGUGGGAAACGAUGUGGGAAGGCCCAGACAGCCAGGAUGUUGGCUUAGAAGCAGCCAUCAUUUAAAGAAAGCGUAAUAGCUCACUGGUCGAGUCGGCCUGCGCGGAAGAUGUAACGGGGCUAAACCAUGCACCGAAGCUGCGGCAGCGACGCUGAUGCGUUGUUGGGUAGGGGAGCGUUCUGUAAGCCUGCGAAGGUGUGCUGUGAGGCAUGCUGGAGGUAUCAGAAGUGCGAAUGCUGACAUAAGUAACGAUAAAGCGGGUGAAAAGCCCGCUCGCCGGAAGACCAAGGGUUCCUGUCCAACGUUAAUCGGGGCAGGGUGAGUCGACCCCUAAGGCGAGGCCGAAAGGCGUAGUCGAUGGGAAACAGGUUAAUAUUCCUGUACUUGGUGUUACUGCGAAGGGGGGACGGAGAAGGCUAUGUUGGCCGGGCGACGGUUGUCCCGGUUUAAGCGUGUAGGCUGGUUUUCCAGGCAAAUCCGGAAAAUCAAGGCUGAGGCGUGAUGACGAGGCACUACGGUGCUGAAGCAACAAAUGCCCUGCUUCCAGGAAAAGCCUCUAAGCAUCAGGUAACAUCAAAUCGUACCCCAAACCGACACAGGUGGUCAGGUAGAGAAUACCAAGGCGCUUGAGAGAACUCGGGUGAAGGAACUAGGCAAAAUGGUGCCGUAACUUCGGGAGAAGGCACGCUGAUAUGUAGGUGAAGUCCCUCGCGGAUGGAGCUGAAAUCAGUCGAAGAUACCAGCUGGCUGCAACUGUUUAUUAAAAACACAGCACUGUGCAAACACGAAAGUGGACGUAUACGGUGUGACGCCUGCCCGGUGCCGGAAGGUUAAUUGAUGGGGUCAGCGCAAGCGAAGCUCUUGAUCGAAGCCCCGGUAAACGGCGGCCGUAACUAUAACGGUCCUAAGGUAGCGAAAUUCCUUGUCGGGUAAGUUCCGACCUGCACGAAUGGCGUAAUGAUGGCCAGGCUGUCUCCACCCGAGACUCAGUGAAAUUGAACUCGCUGUGAAGAUGCAGUGUACCCGCGGCAAGACGGAAAGACCCCGUGAACCUUUACUAUAGCUUGACACUGAACAUUGAGCCUUGAUGUGUAGGAUAGGUGGGAGGCUUUGAAGUGUGGACGCCAGUCUGCAUGGAGCCGACCUUGAAAUACCACCCUUUAAUGUUUGAUGUUCUAACGUGGACCCGUAAUCCGGGUUGCGGACAGUGUCUGGUGGGUAGUUUGACUGGGGCGGUCUCCUCCUAAAGAGUAACGGAGGAGCACGAAGGUUGGCUAAUCCUGGUCGGACAUCAGGAGGUUAGUGCAAUGGCAUAAGCCAGCUUGACUGCGAGCGUGACGGCGCGAGCAGGUGCGAAAGCAGGUCAUAGUGAUCCGGUGGUUCUGAAUGGAAGGGCCAUCGCUCAACGGAUAAAAGGUACUCCGGGGAUAACAGGCUGAUACCGCCCAAGAGUUCAUAUCGACGGCGGUGUUUGGCACCUCGAUGUCGGCUCAUCACAUCCUGGGGCUGAAGUAGGUCCCAAGGGUAUGGCUGUUCGCCAUUUAAAGUGGUACGCGAGCUGGGUUUAGAACGUCGUGAGACAGUUCGGUCCCUAUCUGCCGUGGGCGCUGGAGAAUUGAGGGGGGCUGCUCCUAGUACGAGAGGACCGGAGUGGACGCAUCACUGGUGUUCGGGUUGUCAUGCCAAUGGCACUGCCCGGUAGCUAAAUGCGGAAGAGAUAAGUGCUGAAAGCAUCUAAGCACGAAACUUGCCCCGAGAUGAGUUCUCCCUGACUCCUUGAGAGUCCUGAAGGAACGUUGAAGACGACGACGUUGAUAGGCCGGGUGUGUAAGCGCAGCGAUGCGUUGAGCUAACCGGUACUAAUGAACCGUGAGGCUUAACCUUACAACGCCGAAG